Molecule: ribosomal RNA, 1018 nt
Filed under: uncultured bacterium
Lineage: Bacteria
Description: bacterial SSU rRNA
Rfam family: Bacterial small subunit ribosomal RNA
Source: RNAcentral
AGGAAUAUUGGUCAAUGGGCGAGAGCCUGAACCAGCCAAGUAGCGUGCAGGAUGACGGCCCUAUGGGUUGUAAACUGCUUUUAUAAGGGAAUAAAGUUAGUCUCGUGAGACUUUUUGCAUGUACCUUAUGAAUAAGGACCGGCUAAUUCCGUGCCAGCAGCCGCGGUAAUACGGAAGGUCCGGGCGUUAUCCGGAUUUAUUGGGUUUAAAGGGAGCGUAGGCCGGAGAUUAAGCGUGUUGUGAAAUGUAGAUGCUCAACAUCUGAACUGCAGCGCGAACUGGUUUCCUUGAGUACGCACAAAGUGGGCGGAAUUCGUGGUGUAGCGGUGAAAUGCUUAGAUAUCACGAAGAACUCCGAUUGCGAAGGCAGCUCACUGGAGCGCAACUGACGCUGAAGCUCGAAAGUGCGGGUAUCGAACAGGAUUAGAUACCCUGGUAGUCCGCACGGUAAACGAUGGAUGCCCGCUGUUGGUCUGAAUAGGUCAGCGGCCAAGCGAAAGCAUUAAGCAUCCCACCUGGGGAGUACGCCGGCAACGGUGAAACUCAAAGGAAUUGACGGGGGCCCGCACAAGCGGAGGAACAUGUGGUUUAAUUCGAUGAUACGCGAGGAACCUUACCCGGGCUUGAAUUGCAGAGGAAGGAUUUGGAGACAAUGACGCCCUUCGGGGUCUCUGUGAAGGUGCUGCAUGGUUGUCGUCAGCUCGUGCCGUGAGGUGUCGGCUUAAGUGCCAUAACGAGCGCAACCCCUCUCCUUAGUUGCCAUCAGGUUAAGCUGGGCACUCUGGGGACACUGCCACCGUAAGGUGUGAGGAAGGUGGGGAUGACGUCAAAUCAGCACGGCCCUUACGUCCGGGGCUACACACGUGUUACAAUGGCAGGUACAGAGAGACGGUCCCUUGCAAAAUGGAUCAAAUCCUUAAAGCCUGUCUCAGUUCGGACUGGGGUCUGCAACCCGACCCCACGAAGCUGGAUUCGCUAGUAAUCGCGCAUCAGCCAUGGCGCGGUGAAUACGUUCCCG